AUGUGGCUGGUUUUACCCUUCCAGGUUGACAGUGGUGAUAAGAGAAAUCUAUUUGGGACUAUACUUCAGGCAAAGAGAAGAACUGAUGUUCAGACUUACAAAAGAGGUAGAACAUAUAUGCUUCCCAUUAUGCGAGAAAGAAACAGGCCUGAGAGUCUAAUGGAUUACUCAAGUCUAUGCUGCCAAGGAAGAACAGAAUCUUUAGUUUGAAAACUCCCCGUUCGGACCACGCUGGGUUGCAUACCCAAUCAUUAUAGCCAAAAUUCCAGGUAUCACAAAUUUCCAUUAAAACCAAAGAUUUAAAGUGGGAUAAGGGAAAAAUGAACAACUUCCUCUACACACUUCAGAAGGGGGCAAGCCUUCCUUAAAGUGGUAGAGGAGGGCUAGACAGAGGGCAUGUCCACCAGACUCUUGGAGGGUAUGUCAAAGGCAGCCACUGAUUUGAUAGACAAAGGAUACUGAGAAUUUUUCCAAAGCCAAAUGUAAGUAUUCUAAAUCUGAGGAUCAAAUUUAAUACCAGUUAAGAAAGAGUGUCCUAGUAUAGAAAAACAAAACAAAACAAAGAUGCAAACAAAUGAACACCAUCCAGGGAGUCAGCCUGAAGGUGGCAUGAACAGCUGAAGGUGGAUAUGUUUUGCUGCACAAUUAUUUACUUGCAUGGACAGGUUUGACAGGACAGCCGUAAGAGUGAAAAUAUUGUAUUCUGAUGAUAGUCCUACACUUCAUGUUGGAAACCAGGGUUGAAGAACUUACUUUGUCUUUUACUAUUUUGGGUAUCUUAAUUAAGUUAUUUAACAUCUAUGAGCCUCUAAUACCUUGGAUUUUUAAACCAAAAACUAUCUAAGACAGGUCUCAAUCAAUUUAGUUUAUUUUGCCAAAGUUAAGGACAUGCCUGGAAAAAAUAAACAUGGAAUCACAGAAACAGUCUGUGGCCUGUGCCUUUCUCCGAAGAUGAUUUUGAGGGCUUCAAUAAGUAAAGGGGAAAAGUGGGCUAGAGGAGAAAGAGGGAGGGUAUGAUAAUCCACAUGUUAUAAGAGAAAAGGAGCAGAUAGUGGAAGAGUUAAUUAUGUAUUUCUCUUGUGCUCAGUAAAUCUAGUACUUUACAUAGGAUAAGGUGAACAUACAUCCUACCUGUGGAGAUAUUUAACAUUUUAUCUAUAGCUAUCUGCUUAGUAACAAAAGAAAAGGCAGCUUCUUAAAUGACUUAGCUUUCAGCUUAAUUUUUUUCUUUUGGUGUAGUGAAUUGGGGUCCUGAGUUUUUAUUUUCCAUUUGCAGAUUCAAAAUGGAAGAAGUAAUUCACCUUGUCUAUGAUAUCUGGCACAUAAUAAGUGCUCAAUAAAUAAAUGUAUGACAUUAAGCAUUGUAACAUAAUACCUUGUAAUACAUAUUUAUAAACUAAGUACUCUAACAUAAUCAAAUAUUAUUCUCAUUUGCAGUAAUCAUUCAGAUCUCUAGGACUAAAGAAAAAUCCAGAGAUGUGGGGAAAGGACUCUAAGCUUAUCUAUUUAUUUUUAAUAUGAAACACAUUUCAUCUAUUUUAACCUGGCAUAAAAAGUAUGGCACCUUAGAAUUUUGUGAAAUGGUGAGGUACACAUUAUUAAUGCCUACUAGUUUUCCCUGUUUUCCUUGGCAUUUUGGUAACUGGACUUUCUAAUCCCCUUGCAGUUGGGCAGAUUCAUGUGACAAGUUCUGACUAAUGAAUCGAGAAGGGGAGUGGCUGUGCUGCUUCCAUGUGGAGAUUUGAGAAGCUCCCUAACAAUUCUCAUAUUUGUCUUACUAAUGUUAUGGUAGUUACAUAGUUUGAAUGUAUCCACCAAAAGUUCAGGUGUUAGAACCUUAAUUUCUUACUGUAGCAGUGUUGGGAGGUGGAGCCUAGUGGGAGGUGCUUUGGUUGUGUGGCCUCUCAUGAAAGGAUUAAUGUCAUUCUUAAAGGAAUAUGCCAGUUUUUGUGGGAGGGAGUGAGUUAUCAUGAGAGCGAGUUGUUAUAAAAAGCAAGCUUGGCUUCCUCUCUGGCCAUGUGAUAUCUCCUACCAUGUUAUAAAACAGCAGGAGGCCCUAGUCUGAUGCUUGAACCAUAUUCUUGGACCUUCCAGCAUCCAGGACCAUGAGCCAAAAUAAACCUCCAUUCUUUAUCAAUUACCCAGUCUGUGGUAUUCUGCUAUAGCAACAGAAAAUGGACUAAGACAAAUGGUAUUCACUGACAAAGUUUAGUACUGAUUUCUCAGAACCCUGAAGAGUUUUCCCAAACCAGGUUAGAAUUGCAAAAAUAAAGUUUUGCUGCAUAAAGUCUCCAGUUUGGGAGUUUUUCUUAAGGUAACACAUAUAGGCAAUGCUCAGAAUGCAGGAGGCUUGAUACUCCAGUUCUUAAGUACUAUUCUCUGAUUCCUGAUAUCAGACUCUAGUUAGAGCCUCUUUUGUUUAUCCAAAACACAUCUUGACCCUGGCAAAUCUUUGCUAAGGUGUAACUUUCUCUGUUUAGAAUUUGUUCCUGGAUGGGGAUUGUUUUGAAUUUGCAAAAACACAAAGUUUACUUAAAGUAAAAUCAUUAUGUUACUUUGUUUCUUUCUAAUGCUGUUUCCAUUCUUUUAGUGUACUUUAGAACAGUUUAUGAUAAUCAGUAUCUCUCCCUCCCUACUUCAGAAUGAUGCGAAGACUUUAAAGUUCUUUAACUCCUCCAAUCUCUC
Molecule: long non-coding RNA, 2685 nt
Organism: Macaca mulatta (Rhesus monkey)
Lineage: Eukaryota; Metazoa; Chordata; Mammalia; Primates; Cercopithecidae
Source: Ensembl